This 253-nucleotide ribosomal RNA is filed under the name uncultured bacterium. RNAcentral describes it as "partial 16S ribosomal RNA". It matches the Rfam family "Bacterial small subunit ribosomal RNA", at positions 524 to 776 of the family's 1533-position model. The record is from RNAcentral.
UACGUAGGGGGCGAGCGUUGUCCGGAUUCAUUGGGCGUAAAGCGCGCGUAGGCGGCCUGGCAAGUCGGCCGUGAAAUCUCCGGGCUCAACUCGGAGGGGUCGGGCGAGACUGCGAGGCUCGAGGUGGGCAGAGGGCCGUGGAAUUCCGGGUGUAGUGGUGGAAUGCGUAGAGAUCCGGAGGAACACCAGUGGCGAAGGCGGCGGCCUGGGCCUGGCCUGACGCUGAGGCGCGAAAGCGUGGGGAGCGAUCCGG